This 50-nucleotide non-coding RNA is filed under the name Trypanosoma lewisi. The record is from RNAcentral. Lineage: Eukaryota; Euglenozoa; Kinetoplastea; Trypanosomatida; Trypanosomatidae.
AUAUAAACAAAUAAACAACAGAAAUAUAUCUAGAAAGAUGUAUGUAAAAU